AAAUGAAAACGACCAUAUGACAAUUAAAGAAAAAUAUUAGCUUAAAUUUAGUAAAAUAUAACAUAUUAGAUGAGAUAUAAUUAAAUACAAAGAGUUGGAAUACCCACUACUGUUGAAAACCGCCCUGAGCUGCAUCUGCUGGUUCCUGAAGCCCUUCAGUGUUCAAGGGCUCUGGAGGCCUGACCGGCUUCUCCCACAGCAGCCGGAAGUCACGGCUCCUGGAAGCAGGACCAGCUUCCGCCAGCACAGGUCAGGCCGCCCGGCGGGCCUCCCGCCGCUUCUCCUCGCCCCCGUUCACAUAUCUGCGUGCUUGGUUUCCUGGCUGGGACUGAGCAACAAAACACCAGCUUUCACGCAGAAAAGAAAGAGGCAAAGUUUCUUUUAGGGCCGAUUCUGAUGGCUUUCUCGGAGACAAGAUACCAGCCACUGACGAUGUAUUUUCCACCCAGCCAUUCAAUUAAGACUCCUUCUCCAAUUCAGACUGUCUACCAACCGCUGGGCCAAAAGAUAUCUGGAAAA
This 519-nucleotide long non-coding RNA is filed under the name Capra hircus (goat). Its description in RNAcentral is "lncRNA (ENSCHIG00010020572.1)". The record is from RNAcentral. Lineage: Eukaryota; Metazoa; Chordata; Mammalia; Artiodactyla; Bovidae.